UAGGGAAUCUUCGGCAAUGGACGGAAGUCUGACCGAGCAACGCCGCGUGAGUGAAGAAGGUUUUCGGAUCGUAAAGCUCUGUUGUAAGAGAAGAACGAGUGUGAGAGUGGAAAGUUCACACUGUGACGGUAUCUUACCAGAAAGGGACGGCUAACUACGUGCCAGCAGCCGCGGUAAUACGUAGGUCCCGAGCGUUGUCCGGAUUUAUUGGGCGUAAAGCGAGCGCAGGCGGUUAGAUAAGUCUGAAGUUAAAGGCUGUGGCUUAACCAUAGUACGCUUUGGAAACUGUUUAACUUGAGUGCAGGAGAGAAAAGUGGAAUUCCUAGUGUAGCGGUGAAAUGCGUAGAUAUAUGGAGGAACACCGGUGGCGAAAGCGGCUCUCUGGCUUGUAACUGACGCUGAGGCUCGAAAGCGUGGGGAGCAAACAGGAUUAGAUACCCUGGUAGUCCACGCCGUAAACGAUGAGUGCUAGGUGUUAGACCCUUUCCGGGGUUUAGUGCCGUAGCUAACGCAUUAAGCACUCCGCCUGGGGAGUACGACCGCAAGGUUG
RNAcentral lists this ribosomal RNA (550 nucleotides) under uncultured bacterium. Its description in RNAcentral is "bacterial SSU rRNA". It matches the Rfam family "Bacterial small subunit ribosomal RNA", at positions 355 to 896 of the family's 1533-position model. The record is from RNAcentral.